RNAcentral lists this long non-coding RNA (1069 nucleotides) under Helianthus annuus (common sunflower). Lineage: Eukaryota; Viridiplantae; Streptophyta; Magnoliopsida; Asterales; Asteraceae. The record is from RNAcentral.
CCUACUCUAAUACAUAACCUCAGGGCAAGAUGAUCGAGAGAUCUGAUUCGCUGCUUUUCCAUCAGUGCGCUCACUGUAUACAUCGAUCUCUCAUCUCCCUAUGUGGAUCGGAUCAUAACAUGUUGAUUCUUCAUAGUGAUGAAAAAAAGGUGGGAGACACCAUUGGCAUCCUGAAAUAAAUACUGAAUAUGUUCGGCUUUUAAUUUGUUUCCGUUAAAGUCUUCUUCUGUUCUUUCUAUGAAAAUAAGAUAUUUAAAAUGUAUUUCCAGCAAUUUUUGUGCACCUGUCACAAAUUUUUCGCCCUCUCUCGAAGCACAGCGAUCCUAAAGGUUGUGAAUAUUUGGAAAAUUUCUGUUGAUGAUUAUGGAGAGCAGUCUUUUGAUGGCAGUAAUUGAGGCACAAACAAACUCUGUCACACAUCCAUUUGAAGGCAGUAAUCGAGGAACAAACAAACUUGUCCGGCAAAGUUUGCAAAACAUGCAUCUAGUGGCUCAGACGUGCCCAACUGGAGGAUCAGGGUUUGGGUUCUUAAUUGCAAUGACGGGAAGAUAAAUUUUGUUGAAACAAGGUGCCGUAUGAAACAAGGUGCGUCGCUUUGAACUUAGGUCAAGGGAUGCACGCAGGUUUUACCAUGAUGCAGCUGCAAGGGAAAACCGAACUUGCAAUGAUAUGUUACCUGGCAGGUGGACAUGUGAAGUCAGUGAGAAGAGGAGCUCAAGUCCAUACCCCGAUUGCCUCAAGAAUAUGUAGGGCGAAGAUUGCACACACUGAGCAUAGUGAUUUCUAUGCAAAUGCACCUAAUUAACUAGGCAUCUAUCAUUUACGUGUUCUAGGUCCACUUUUUUUAUGGUGGUGUUUUCUCAUUAACCAGAAUAUUGGUUGUUACAUGGAAGUUUACUUCUUCAUUCAAAAAGAGCCUUUAACAACCAUGUUGAUUGCUGUGUUGAUUAUUCAACCUUGGAGUUCUAAUUGUAACAUGUUGAUUGAUCAUAAUGUUUUAAUUUUUGUUUUCACUUUAAUUUGGGUACUAGUAAGAUGUAUUGAUAACAAAUAGAAUAUUUUUUUAUUG